RNAcentral lists this long non-coding RNA (1395 nucleotides) under Oryza sativa (Asian cultivated rice). RNAcentral describes it as "long non-coding RNA (OSAT_LNC001181)". The record is from RNAcentral. Lineage: Eukaryota; Viridiplantae; Streptophyta; Magnoliopsida; Poales; Poaceae.
CGGCGCGGCGCCCACGCCGUUCGCGCUCACCCCCCACAAGCCCCGGCGCCGCAGCCAUGGCGGACGGCGAGGAGGAGGAGGAGGCGCACGAUUGGAGGCGAUCGCGGGCGGCCUCGCCAAGCGCCCGCGGCAGCCGGAGGUGACUCGCCACCGCCUCGAUCCUCUCCCUUGUAUGUCUUAGCCUCGGGCGAGCGCGUGGGGGUGACGCCUAGCAGCUGCGGUAUGGGGGUCUGUGAUGUCCGUGGGGUGUUCGUCGAAAUGCGCCGUAGGAACUUCGCGUCCUCGUCGCGCCUCCUUUAGGGGGAUCUCGGUCUCGGGGUGUGUUAGGGGGCUGACUCAUGUUUUCGGUCCCGGUGCGAGCAUGUCGGCGACGCUGCUGCAAGGGAUAGUAUUAUAGAUGCUGUAGCGGUAUGAAGAACCUUAUAGGAUCGCACUUGCGCUUAGUGCGGCCUUGAGAUCUGUGAUGGGGAAUUGGUAGUUUAGGGGCUUCAGUAAAAUAUACCGUGGACACUUUUGUGAUCUAAUGAAUCAGUUCUUAGAAAUAUCUGCAGGUGCUGUGCUUACAUGUAUAAGAUGCAAACAAAAUGUUUCACUCUUUGUUCAUUCACAGAGCUGUGAUGGUGAAAUCAAACGUAACUUUCAACAUGCAUCAGGAAAAGAAAAACAACUUAUUUUUCUUCAUAGUAAAAUGAGUUAAAGUUAAUUAAAUGGACCAUAUAGUAUGUCAGUUUUUUCCCUUUUAUGUUGGGGCCAUCUGUGAGGUGUCAAACUUGUUCUGUACUUCUGUUAAAUCAGAAAACUACUCUAGAACAAAUAGUCGAAGGUUUUGACUAAACUCAAUAUACUGUUCAUAUCAGCCAAUCUGUUGGAGGAAUUUUUGUAGAGUGUACCCUUAUUUUAAGGGGAGUUUCUAUCCAGUGAUUAGCAAGAGGAUAGCUGUUUAAUAUUUUUCAAACCACCUGAUUUGGUCCUCAGGCCAAAUGGGCCGUGGCCCAGGAACUGGAUAUUAAAGCCCAAAUUGCUUUACUUAAUUUUACCAUAGUAUUUUUAUGUAUGGACCAAUGGAGUGUGGGCUGGCCAUGGCUUGAUGGUGGGUCCAUCCCUGCCUGAGUAACCUUUAUAUCAUUUGUUCUAUAUAAUUGUGUUGGAUGAACUACGAUUGGGCCUUAUCUGACUAUAUCAGAAUUAUAGUUGUCUGCUUAUGUAGUUUUCCAACAGAAUCAAUCUUGCUGGGACAAAGAUCAAUUAACUUCAGUUUCUUGCUGCUCAUAUUUUAAUUACUCUAAAAAACAUGAAGAGAAAAGUGAUGGCAUUCUACUAUGCUAGUUGGAGGUUGGAAGUACAAAGGAGAUUUUACCAAAAUUGGCAACAUUUUACCAGAUUCAUCAAUUCGAG